RNAcentral lists this long non-coding RNA (745 nucleotides) under Pan troglodytes (chimpanzee). Its description in RNAcentral is "long non-coding RNA NONPTRT015742". The record is from RNAcentral. Lineage: Eukaryota; Metazoa; Chordata; Mammalia; Primates; Hominidae.
UGAAAAGCGAGGUCGUGAAGACGCCGGCCUCAUACCGAAGGGUAGGACGGUGAGAUCAGCCCCGUCCCACUCCAACUAAAAUCAACCUGACAGGAGGUGGUUCAGGAAAACGGUCCCAUUUGGCACCUCAAGUCUAGGUCCCUCAAGUCUCUACAACAGUAUGCAAAGAAAAUGUUCAUCUUCAUUCUUCUUAUAGUUUUCUGGUAACUUACUGAACCAAGCGCACACACACUCUCCAAGGACAAACAUUUUUCAGUGCUGGGACAAUGCAAAUUCAGCUCUCGGCAGACUACUACACACUGUGCAUGAUAUACCAAGACUAAAAGACUCAUAACCUACCCGCAGAAAGAGUGCAUCUUCCAUAGUAGCUCUGCAAAAAGAUCCAAAAGAAACUGUUAAUGGCCUGGCUUAAGUCAAAUUGUGUCCGGAAUUGGUGGGUUCUUCGUCUCACUGACUUCAAGUAUGAAGCCGACCCUCGCGGUCAGUGUUACAGCUCUUAAGAUGGCGCCUGUGGAGUUUGUUCCUUCUGAUGUUCGGAUGUGUUCGGAGUUUCUUCCUUCUGGUGGGAUCGUGGUCUCGCUGGCUCAGGAGUGAAGCUGCAGACCUUCGCAGUGAGUGUUACAGCUCUUAAGGCGGCGCGUCUGCAGUUGUUCCUUUCUCCCGGUGGGUUCCUGGUCUUGCUGGCUUCAAGAGUGAAGCUGCAGACCUGCGUGUUGAGUGUUACAGCUCAUAAAGGCAGUGUGGA